This 3264-nucleotide long non-coding RNA is filed under the name Malus domestica (apple). RNAcentral describes it as "long non-coding RNA (MDOM_LNC014483)". The record is from RNAcentral. Lineage: Eukaryota; Viridiplantae; Streptophyta; Magnoliopsida; Rosales; Rosaceae.
CGGUGGACCCGUAUGCGAAAAAUGAAGCGUUUAAUAUCAACAACGGGGAUGUGUUCAAGUGGAAGCAUUUCUGGAAGGUGCUGGCGGAGCAGUUUGGGAUAGAGGAGUACGGGAUUGAUGAGGGAGGCCGGAGGCUGAGCUUGGUGGAGCUGAUGAAGGGGAAGGAGAAGGUGUGGGAGGAGAUAGUGAGGGAGAACGAGCUGCAGCCGACGAAGCUGGCGGAGGUGGGAGUGUGGUGGUUUGUGGAUGUUUGGUUGAGCGGAGAAGGGUUGUUGUGCAGCAUGAACAAGAGUAAGGAGCAUGGGUUUUUGGGGUUUAAUUCCAGGAAUUCGUUUGUUACUUGGAUUGAUAAGAUGAAGGCUUUCCAGAUUGUGCCGUGAUCGACUGAUGACUGUUUUGAAAUAAUUUUGUCCUCAAUGUGUUGAUGGUGGUGUUUGGGUUAUGGAGAGAUUUUGUUGUGGUUUUUCUUGCCCUUGUUCUACUUGAAAUUCACAAUAAAUUAUACAAAGUUACUUUGUUGAAUGUGCUAUCGAGCUUCAUCAUCUUUUUCUCCUCAAGUUUUUUUAGAUGGUUUUCUAGCCUUUGGAUUGCAUAAAUUAAGCUACACGUAUAUUUUUUGAUUCAAUCAGAUUCAUUAGUUAGUAGAGCUAUUCACUUGAUCGUAGACAUUUCUGAAACAUGCUAGAAGGACAACAGUAAAAAGGAACCAAAAAAAAAAAAAAAGAAUAGUGAAAAUGACUACCAAUUCCAAAAUUUUACCCCAUUUUGUUUAGACUUUUUAGUUAUAAUGAUCACUGAGAUUUGCAUAAUUCGUUACCUUGUUCCAUGAUAUUUGAAAUGAAUAGAAAUAAUCCUGAGUUUGUCUAUUAUUAAUUAUUUUGAUCAUUCUAUGAAAAAUCUCUAUUAAAUAAAGCUAAAAUGACAAAAAAUACUUUCAAUUUUUGUCAAAUCAUUUGGCCAUUGUUUAUUAAAUUGAUGAUAUUUUUGUUAUUUUGAUCCUUAUUUAAUAUAAUUUUAUACGGAAUGAUCAAAAUAAUUAAUGGUGAACAAGCUCAGGACCAUUUCUAUUGAUUUCAAAUUUCAAGGACCAAAGUGAUGAGUUAUACAAAUCUUAGGGAUCAUUUUUAACUAAAAAGCUUUUUGUUUAAGAAAUGGAAUUGCUAGAGGUUUCUUUUCCGCUCUCUUUUCUCAUCAUUUAUUAUACAUUUCUGAAUGCUUCUAAUUCUGAAGUUACCAAACACAAACGGAAGCAAUCUACCAUUCAAAAGCCUCAUUUCUCAAAGACAAACGUAGAUCUAUCAAUGUAGCCCAAAUGGACCCAAAUUCUAAUCCAAAUCUAACGUAAUUAGUAGGAGUCGAUUUUAGGUUCUUAAUCAACUAAUUUGAUCACGAUUUGAAUCACAUAACCCAUUAGCUUAACGAACCUUGUUGACACGGAAACCAUAGUGGGUCGGUCAAAGAAGGUCAAAAAAAUGAUUGGAUUAAAGCCUAAGGUCUAACCAAGUGAAGAACCAAACGUAGGCCCAAUGAGCCCAAAAUCCUAGGCAGGGAUCGAUCACCCAUGGCCCAAUUGUCGCGGGAAGUUGGUUGAUACGCCUCUGUGCCACCAACUUUACCACGUCGCCUACCAACAACUUGCGUGUAAAGAAGAAUUUACAUCAGCUUUCACGUAUCGACCCAUUCGACCAAGGUGAUUCCUAUUUUAUUAACAAAGAGACAUAAGACUUUGCCGAAAAAAAAACAAAAAACAUAGAGACAGACGAUAGGGAGGCAAUGACAUGCCCGCACAAUUAUUGAUCCCGCUACGAAAUUAUUUUUAUAAAUGAUAUAUUACGUGUUUUUAUAUAAAUUAUGUAUUUUUUAAAUUAUUAACAUUUUAGAAAAUUAUUAUUAAUAUUUUAAAAUUUUCAUUUUACAUUACUCAAAAGCGUAUUUUUUUCUUCUAAUUAUAAAAAAUUUGAAGUGCAAAAUAAGAUUUUUAGAGUAAUAAUAAUAAUUUCUAUUUUUUUAAUACAUAUAUUAUAUUAUUUAUAUAGUAACACGUAUAACUCUGUAAAAAAAUAUCUAAAAGGAAAAUUUGGACCCGCAAUUUCCAGGAGGUGGUGUACUAGAGACUAACAGUUACACUCUCGGCUGGCAUUCAUUCCUCAGCUUUCCACUCCAAAACCAUAAUCCCCAAUUCUUUCAUCCAUCCAAUCUCAUCGUCUUCUCUCUCACCACUCCAAAUCCAAAUCCAUGAGCUGGUGGUGGGCCGGAGCUGUUGGCGCCGCCAAGGCAAUUACAAUCUCAACUACUCCGUUGAUCCUUUCAAUUUUUCAAUUUUUGCUUAAUUAACGUUUUAAUUUUGAUUUUUGCAGAAAAAAGCCGAUGAAGACGAACAGCCGCGAGCUCCCGAGAGCGUGGGACUCGUGAUCGGCGUCACCGGCAUAGUCGGCAAUAGCCUCGCCGAAAUCCUCCCUCUCUCGGACACACCCGGCGGCCCAUGGAAGGUCUAUGGCGUUGCGCGCCGUCCCCGCCCGAACUGGAGCGCCGACCACCCUAUCGAGUACGUCCAGUGCGACGUCUCCGAUCCCGAAGAUGCCAAAACCAAGCUCUCUCCGUUAACGGACGUAACGCACAUCUUCUACGUCACAUGGGCCAACCGAUCCACCGAGGUGGAGAACUGCGAGGUUAACGGCAAUAUGCUGCGCAACGUUUUGGAAUCCGUCAUCCCGAACGCGCCCAAUCUCCGCCACAUCUGCCUCCAGACCGGUGGCAAACACUACCUCGGACCGUUCGAGUCGUUUGGCAAGAUCCAGCCGCACGAUCCGCCGUUUACGGAGGACCUGCCUCGACUGGAUACCCCGAAUUUCUAUUACACGCAGGAGGACCUUUUGUUUGCUGAGGUGGAGAAGAAAGAGGAUCUGACUUGGUCGGUGCACCGGCCCGAUAUGAUUUUCGGGUUUUCCCCUUACAGCAUGAUGAAUAUUGUCGGCACGCUCUGCGUCUACGCCGCGAUAUGCAAGCACGAGGGGCUGCCGCUGAGGUUUCCGGGAAGCAAAGCGGCGUGGAAUUCGUACUCGGUGGCUUCGGAUGCUGAUCUGAUAGCGGAGCAUCACAUAUGGGCGGCGGUGGACCCGUAUGCGAAAAACGAAGCGUUUAACAUCAACAACGGGGAUGUGUUUAAGUGGAAGCAUUUCUGGAAGGUGCUGGCGGAGCAGUUUGGGAUAGAGGAGUACGGGAUUGAUGAGGGAGGCGGGAGGCUGAGGUUGGCGGAGCGGAUGA